UAGAGAAUUCAUUGCAAACUGAUCAAGGU
RNAcentral lists this small RNA (29 nucleotides) under Bombyx mori (domestic silkworm). Its description in RNAcentral is "piRNA piR-bmo-1400777". The record is from RNAcentral. Lineage: Eukaryota; Metazoa; Arthropoda; Insecta; Lepidoptera; Bombycidae.